CACCAGGGGCACCGGAAGGCAGCUCUUUCUUGAUUCGAUGGGAGGUGGUGCAUGACCGUUCGUAGUUGGUAGAGCGAUUUGUCUGGUUAAUUCCGGUAACGAACGAGACUCUAGCCUGCUAAAUAGGCGUCGUCAUUUCGGUGUGCAUGGCUUCGGACAAGCAACUCACUGACGAUGUAUUAAAAUUAUUUUUAGAGGAACCGGCUGUUUCCAGCCGCUAACCGCUCAGUUGCUCAGCGCAAAAACUGGGGAGCGGUAUGUU
This 262-nucleotide non-coding RNA is filed under the name Operophtera brumata (winter moth). RNAcentral describes it as "Eukaryotic small subunit ribosomal RNA". It matches the Rfam family "Eukaryotic small subunit ribosomal RNA", at positions 1229 to 1466 of the family's 1831-position model. The record is from Rfam by way of RNAcentral. Lineage: Eukaryota; Metazoa; Arthropoda; Insecta; Lepidoptera; Geometridae.